ACAACAGGGAUUGCCCUAGUAACGGCGAGUGAAGCGGCAACAGCUCAAAUUUGAAAUCUGGCUCUUUUAGAGUCCGAGUUGUAAUUUGCAGAGGGCGCUUUGGCUUUGGCAGCGGUCCAAGUUCCUUGGAACAGGACGUCACAGAGGGUGAGAAUCCCGUACGUGGUCGCUAGCUAUUGCCGUGUAAAGCCCCUUCGACGAGUCGAGUUGUUUGGGAAUGCAGCUCUAAAUGGGAGGUAAAUUUCUUCUAAAGCUAAAUAUUGGCCAGAGACCGAUAGCGCACAAGUAGAGUGAUCGAAAGAUGAAAAGCACUUUGGAAAGAGAGUCAAACAGCACGUGAAAUUGUUGAAAGGGAAGCGCUUGCAGCCAGACUUGCUUGCAGUUGCUCAUCCGGGCUUUUGCCCGGUGCACUCUUCUGCAGGCAGGCCAGCAUCAGUUUGGGCGGUGGGAUAAAGGUCUCUGACACGUUCCUUCCUUCGGGUUGGCCAUAUAGGGGAGACGUCAUACCACCAGCCUGGACUGAGGUCCGCGCAUCUGCUAGGAUGCUGGCGUAAUGGCUGUAAGCGGCCCGUCUUGAAACACGGACCAAGGAGUCUAACAUCUAUGCGAGUGUUUGGGUGUCAAGCCCGAGCGCGUAAUGAAAGUGAACGGAGGUGGGAACCCGCAAGGGCGCACCAUCGACCGAUCCUGAAGUUUACGGAAGGAUUUGAGUAAGAGCAUGGCUGUUGGGACCCGAAAGAUGGUGAACUAUGCUUGAAUAGGGUGAAGCCAGAGGAAACUCUGGUGGAGGCUCGCAGCGGUUCUGACGUGCAAAUCGAUCGUCAAAUUUGGGCAUAGGGGCGAAAGACUAAUCGA
RNAcentral lists this ribosomal RNA (855 nucleotides) under Curvularia heteropogonis. Its description in RNAcentral is "eukaryotic LSU rRNA". It matches the Rfam family "Eukaryotic large subunit ribosomal RNA", at positions 65 to 938 of the family's 3401-position model. Lineage: Eukaryota; Fungi; Ascomycota; Dothideomycetes; Pleosporales; Pleosporaceae. The record is from RNAcentral.